GACAGAGGUCCCGAGCGUUAGGCGGAAUCACUGGGCUUAAAGCGUGUGUAGGCGGAUUGGUAAGUACCUUGUGAAAUCCCACGGCUCAACCGUGGAACUGCUUGGUGUACUGCUUAUCUUGGGCCACUUAGGGGUUACCGGAACAAACGGUGGAGCGGUGAAAUGCGUAGAUAUCAAGAGGAACACCUGAGGUGAAGACGGGUUGCUGGGCUGACACUGACGCUGAGGCGCGAAAGCCAGGGGAGCGAACGGG
Molecule: ribosomal RNA, 253 nt
Filed under: uncultured bacterium
Lineage: Bacteria
Description: partial 16S ribosomal RNA
Rfam family: Bacterial small subunit ribosomal RNA
Source: RNAcentral